This 42-nucleotide non-coding RNA is filed under the name Trichobilharzia regenti. The record is from RNAcentral. Lineage: Eukaryota; Metazoa; Platyhelminthes; Trematoda; Strigeidida; Schistosomatidae.
AUUCUGACGAGUCCCAAAUAGGACGAAAUGCGCAUCCUGGAU